UCUCUCCUUCCCUGCAUGAUUGCGACAUUUCUUGUUCGGUUGCUUGCAGUUCAAUUAUACUUCAACAGCAGAAAAGAGCAACUCUUUCGUUUCUUGACAGAGGUACAUACAAUGUGUCUGGAACAAGAAAUCUACAAUGGUUGCCAAUAUAAUAUGUUAAAGAUGCUUCGAGAUUCACGUCCUUCUUCGGAUCAUCAGUAUGAAGAGGGUUGCAUCGCCAGGGAAGAAGGCUGUAGCAGUGAAGCCGAAGAGUAUGAAAUCGCCGACGGUGAAGAAAUGAGUGACCAAGAAGGCGAAAAGUGAAGAUAUUCAUUUGGGGUUUGUAGAGAGGGUAGUGAUUGUAAAUUUGAUGGAUAAUGGAGGAUAGUAAUGCUAGUUCCUUAGCGGUAACAGAAAUGUUAUUUUUCAGGCUAUUUUUAAGCUUCAUUAUAUUUGGUUUUUUUAUUCAAUGUAAUUUUAGUGUCUUUAUAUAUGUAUGUAUAUAGCGAAAAAAUGUCAUUUUCUGAUGGUGUUCUUCAA
This is a long non-coding RNA of Populus nigra (black poplar), 519 nucleotides long. RefSeq lists it as uncharacterized. Lineage: Eukaryota; Viridiplantae; Streptophyta; Magnoliopsida; Malpighiales; Salicaceae. The transcript has 2 exons. The record is from RefSeq and is a predicted model, not a curated record.